Molecule: unclassified non-coding RNA, 403 nt
Filed under: soil metagenome
Description: partial contains 5.8S ribosomal RNA, internal transcribed spacer 2, and large subunit ribosomal RNA
Rfam family: 5.8S ribosomal RNA (bases 1-121)
Source: RNAcentral
GAUGAAGAACGUAGCGAAAUGCGAUAAGUAAUGUGAAUUGCAGAAUUCAGUGAAUCAUCGAAUCUUCGAACGCACCUUGCGCCCUUUGGCUAUUCCGAAGGGCAUGCCUGUUUGAGUAUCAUGAACACCUCAACUCUCAUGGCUUGCCAUGAUGAGCUUGGACUUUUGGGGGUCUUGCUGGCCUGUGGUCAGCUCCUCUCAAAUGAAUUAGCCUGCCAGUGUUUGGUGGCAUCACAGGUGUGAUAACUAUCUGCGCUUGUGGUUUUCCACCAGGUAACCUUCAGUGAUGAAGGUUCGCUGGGGCUCAUAAACGUCUCUCCUCAGUGAGGACAGCUCUUUGAACGUUUGAUCUCAAAUCAGGUAGGACUACCCGCUGAACUUAAGCAUAUCAAGAAGCGGAGGA